CAUGAUCAAGACUCCAAUCCC
RNAcentral lists this unclassified non-coding RNA (21 nucleotides) under Arabidopsis thaliana (thale cress). The record is from RNAcentral. Lineage: Eukaryota; Viridiplantae; Streptophyta; Magnoliopsida; Brassicales; Brassicaceae.